Molecule: ribosomal RNA, 282 nt
Filed under: Triticum aestivum (bread wheat)
Lineage: Eukaryota; Viridiplantae; Streptophyta; Magnoliopsida; Poales; Poaceae
Description: partial small subunit ribosomal RNA
Source: RNAcentral
AUGGCGCGUGCCAGCAGCGACGCACGGGCGGCUCUGUGCCUGGUGGCUCUUCUGGCCAUGUCGUCUCUCAUGUCUUGUCAGGCGGCCGGAAGAAACAUAGGUACAACUGGCGCCGAUCCGACGACGAACUGCAUACAUGCUUUAGGCUGUGCGCCCCCGCCGCCGGGCAAGCCUGACAUCGACAUCUUCUGCAGGGCUUACUGCUACCAGCGAGGCUACAACCUAUUGAAAAGUUAUUGCAAGCCAGACGGCGGCGGCACAUGCUGCUGCGUGAAGGCGUGA